UGAAUUUGGUGCUUGCACCAGAUGAAACUAGAUACAAGCGAGCGGCGGACGGGUGAGUAACACGUGGGUAACCUGCCCAAGAGACUGGGAUAACACCUGGAAACAGAUGCUAAUACCGGAUAACAACACUAGACGCAUGUCUAGAGUUUAAAAGAUGGUUCUGCUAUCACUCUUGGAUGGACCUGCGGUGCAUUAGCUAGUUGGUAAGGUAACGGCUUACCAAGGCAAUGAUGCAUAGCCGAGUUGAGAGACUGAUCGGCCACAUUGGGACUGAGACACGGCCCAAACUCCUACGGGAGGCAGCAGUAGGGAAUCUUCCACAAUGGACGCAAGUCUGAUGGAGCAACGCCGCGUGAGUGAAGAAGGGUUUCGGCUCGUAAAGCUCUGUUGGUAGUGAAGAAAGAUAGAGGUAGUAACUGGCCUUUAUUUGACGGUAAUUACUUAGAAAGUCACGGCUAACUACGUGCCAGCAGCCGCGGUAAUACGUAGGUGGCAAGCGUUGUCCGGAUUUAUUGGGCGUAAAGCGAGUGCAGGCGGUUCAAUAAGUCUGAUGUGAAAGCCUUCGGCUCAACCGGAGAAUUGCAUCAGAAACUGUUGAACCUGAGUGCAGAAGAGGAGAGUGGAACUCCAUGUGUAGCGGUGGAAUGCGUAGAUAUAUGGAAGAACACCAGUGGCGAAGGCGGCUCUCUGGUCUGCAACUGACGCUGAGG
Molecule: ribosomal RNA, 710 nt
Filed under: uncultured Bacilli bacterium
Lineage: Bacteria; Bacillati; Bacillota; Bacilli
Description: bacterial SSU rRNA
Rfam family: Bacterial small subunit ribosomal RNA
Source: RNAcentral